CCAUCCCAUCAGGGUUCCUUUCUAUUGAACUUGGCCUGGUUUGCCUCAUCUUGGUUUAUAUGUGGAAAUGAAAGGGGUGUGGCAGCUUCAUCUCUGGAUUCCCCAACUAGAGCCAUUCUAAGGGCAGGAAAAGACUGAACCUUUAUCAUUUUAUCUUUUGUUUUCUUUUUUUUCCUCAUGGAAAACAUGCUUUUAUCCCUGCCUCCAGGGGAAGUCUAUUGCUUAUCUCAAUUUCUCUCUUUCCUAAUGGAAUUUCACCCCUUGCCCUACAGGUGGAUUAUUGCUCUACCUCUCUCCAUUUGCUGUACCUGUGAUAGUAUGAUCUGUCCCUUCCCCCAGGGUAGCCUCUCUCUGGGGAAUAUCUGGGGAUUACUCCACGCAGCUCUAUCUCCCUACUGAGUUAUUUAUUCUUUAUCAUAGAUGCAGUUUGUUUUCUGUGUGGAGUGAUAUGGAAAGAAUGUUUUUAUUCAAACUGUAAAUCUAUGGAAGAUCAGCAAGACAGAUUGAAGGACAGAAUGAAAUGUUGUUAAUUCCUCACUAGAAAAACCUUUGUCUGAACUACCUUUAGCAUUUUUUUGUCCUGUAGGGACAAAAUCUGAUCAAUCCCCACAAGUUCACUCAGUCAUGUGGAUGUAUCUUCUCUACAUCCUGUUUUACACAGCUUUGACUACUGCUUUCCAAACUGUGGUUUUAACUUUAGUGGUCCUGUCUGUAAGGACAUACGUGGUCUCUUGGUGUUGUCAUUUUUUGACUUUCCAGCUCCUGGAAAGCCCAUCAAUGGACACUUCUACUUUAUAAGCAAUGGCUGCAGUUACCACAAAGUCUUUCUUGUAUCGCUAAUAGCUGCCCACAAAUCAAUCUCUGUGUUAAAACGUGGUCUACAGCAUUAAACCAGGAAUUGUUAAUAAUGCCCAAAGAGGCUUCUGCCUGAGGGUAGAAGUGCUUCCAUCUGGUUUCUGGAUUUUAAAUCCUUGUGUAGAUGCUGAAAUAGCUUUAUAAGCAUUGAAUUUUUACUGGGAAUUCCUGCGCAUGGAGAUUUUUGCCUGCCUGCCUUUUAUCUAAUGUAGACUGUUCUGCCUGUCUUACAAUGCUUACAGUACUGUUUUAAGGACAUUACCUUUAGGCAUCUAUUAAUGGAAAGGUUUGUUCUUAAGAAAUAAAGAAAGUUUAUUAGUAGGUAACAACUGCUUACAAGUUGUCGAACCCUGAUAGUGGUUCAGAUGCUUUGAACAGAUUCUCAGACAUGCAGUUGCUUUGUUUUAAUAUUUGACUAGAAAUUUUAAUCCUGUCAAUACAGACUUCCUACUGUUUUCAUUUUACCUUGACUAAUUUUGGUCUGUUAUGUUAUUCCAUAAGUAUACUCAUAUUUUUUUUCUGAAACUGAGGCUUCUAGUCCCUUCAUACUGUCCUCAACUGCAGAAGUGAAUUGCUCUAUCCUGUGAUACAGGGGACUGAGGAAAGACAACUCUGAUGUUUCAGUCUAAAGCUUUGCAAUUAACACCCAGUAUGACGCUUUGGAGAUCCUUGUUCUUGCCCAGUCCUCUCCGUGCCACCUUAGGGUUUUAGAUAGGUCAUAGAAUCUCUCUGUACCUCAGUUCCCAUUUGUAAAAUGGCAAUGCCGCUCAAGUGACUGUAUGGAGAGAGGUGUGAGACUGUUCAUCGGAAAGCAUUACUAGCACAGAUUUGCAAGAGAGGUAAGACUGAUGUGGUGAGGCUGGUAAUAAGCACAGGAAAGACUGGCAGCAAGCUCCUAAAGAGGCAGGGAGGAUCAGAAACCAGGAUUCAUGCUGGUGAGGGUGGCAGGAAGGAAUUCCCUCCAUUCGCGUGUCUGUUCUUAGACCACAGCGGAUGGCACUUCAGUCCUGCUUCACCCAUUCAUUACAAAGCCAGGUGCUGCUCUUCACCUUCCAUGGCUUCCUUAAUGGAGAGAUACCUGAUAAACCAUCAGAAGUUAAUGAUCAAAAAGCUUAUCAGGGUCUUUUCAUCUAUAAAUUUAUAAGACAAAAGAGAAAUAAUAAAGCCAUUGGAUAAUUAGUAACUAGCCAGGGCCCGCCCGGUGCCACUGGGCUCAAACUACCCCAAGACCUGUACGCAGACUCAGGAAGAUGAGAAGGAGACAAGAAUGAGAGGAAGAAAAAGAGGGGAAGGGAGAGAGAGAAUUAGCCAAGAAGAAAACAAAAUGGGAGGAAUAGCAGCAGAGACAAAGGUGAAGAGAGAAGGGAAACACGUAAAAAGAAUGGUAAAGAGGUAAAGAGAACAGAGGAAAUGAAAAGAUGUGACACAGCUGGAAGUGGGGAAGAGAUGAGACAUGUACUGGGCCAGAAAGAAGAUGGAAAAUUUGGCAAUGUUUUCCCCACCCAGAUGGCAUCCAAGUACCAGCUCACCUCCCUACAGUGAGUUCAAAAAGGCUCAGAUGGAUACAGAAGACUUUGUGUGGCUAAAAAGAAGGAACAAUUUGGAGUCCAUGUAAAAACGUUUAAUGUAGACACACCAACAUUACUGGCUGGUAACACUAAUUGUCAGUUGUAAUUACAGUUUCCAGCCAUGACAUAGAGUUUCUGCAUGGUAUGUCCUUAUAAUUCAAGGACUUUGCAAACAGAGAACAGAUUGUGGGGCUCCUGCAAUAUGUGACAGAGGAGAUUCUGUCAUACUCUGUUACUUAUUUCUGCCUGUCUUUGACAUGCUGGGUUUUUUUUACCUAAACUAAGAUGGAAAAUAUUACCAUUGGUCUCGUUCAAAAGAUUGCCAAAUCUAUGUUCUGUAAUUAUAUAUAAUAUACCUGUUGAAUGCUUGAGGGGGUGUGGACACAGACCAUUAAGUUUAGACAAAGAACAGUGAUAUUUGCUAAUGGAAACUGUAAAGAGAAGAAAACAUAGCAACAAAUGAUCUGUCUAUAUUGUGUGGUUUCAAGGAUUCCCUAUGUUCCCAGAAGUCCUGGUGCUGUUGCUUCUGAUUGCCUUGAAGACCUUCAGCUGUGGAGGCUUUUAGAACAGCCUGUCUUGAAACCAGUGAACUUUGAAGUCUAUAAAACCAGAAACGAACAUCUGUUUGUAUGUCAGGACCUCACUGAAUGCUACAACUGGAUGCCAUGUGGAGAAUCCUUAGCUGAAUAUGGAAGCCUUUCAAAUACUGAGGAGGAGGUAAAUGUUCUCUAUCGCUUUAUCCUGAUGGGCUUUUUGGUCUAUUAGAAUUGUCCAUUUUAAACUGGAGGAGCCUGGACAAUUAACCAAACAAGCAAACUGCCACACUUCCAUCUUUACAUUCACUGUAACCUGCCAGCCCAUGCUAGUGAAUGGUUCAGCACUCCAUUAAGUAUUUCAGAUUCCUCAGUGCAGGAAAACCAGUGAGCUUUUCAGUGUUUCUUAAAUGUUAUAAAUUGCUAGUGGUCAGACUGAAGGAGGAUGCUGUCGUGAAUUAGCCAGCAUCCCUAUUUUAUACUCUGGCACUAAGGAUUUCAAUAUCAUAUUUCUCAGAUUAUUACAAGUGCUAUGAUAUGCAGUUGUGAGUAAAUAAGAAUAGCAGAGGCCAAGGGUGGAAGCUGCAAAGUUUUAACAAGAUAGACUAUAGUUCUAGUAGUGGAGCAAGAGCUAAACUGUAGAGUGCCAUAAUCCAGACAACGUUCUCCUGUAACUGAAUUGUACUCAGGGAUUUUGCCUUGAGGAUGACUAUUAGAAAGAAGAGGUUUUGCUUUUGCUAUACCCAUUUUCACCUAUUACCAGUGCUCAGUAUAUGUUGAUUUCCUUAAUUGCAACAAUUUGCUUGGCCAUGACUUGAUUCUCAAGUUAUCACUAAUGUGAUAACUGUGAUUGCAAUAGGGGAAAUGUUUGAAGACACUGAGUGAUACCUGCUUGUUUUCCCCACGUUUGCAGUAUCUGGUUUUGUGUUUUUUCACCCUGCAAAACUACUUGGUUUUCCUUAGGUGUAAUUAACAUGGUGGUUGAGGCCCCUCAAAUUCAGUGCUUCAUUGACAAGACUUAAGCAGCUUUACAACACUAUAAACUGGUCAGCUUAAUAGCAAGCUCACUAACAAAGUUACAUUAACAAAACAGUUUGGAUGCAGAUUGGAGAAAUAUAUCAAUCAGUAAUCACAAGAAGUCUGAUUUCAUUUUUAUUUUAAUGGCAAGUUUAAUAAAGAUUAUUUAAACAUUUUCAACUACUUUGCAUUCUCCUGCACACACUUAAAUACAACUUCUAUGCAUUGUGUUUUUAAAAUUGUUUUCUUCUCCUGAGGCAGCAGACUGGUAACACUGUGUGACAGCUGUCAUAUAAAACUGGGUUCCUGGCAUUCCCAAUAUCGUUACAGGGUUCAUCUAAUGGAAUUCUAUUUUAUUGGUAAAUAAUAGUCUGCCUUGAUUAACUUCCAAUGUAAUCCCUUCUCCCUACAUGUAAUAAAGUAGCUGAAUUACUAAUCAAGUGGAUUACUUACACUGAGAACAGCUGCAUGAAAGUAUAAAUGGGUAUCUAAUAGGAACAUUAUUCUUAUUUUAGACUUACUGGUUUGUAUUGUGCUUAUUACACUAGGGCAAAACCAAAGUAAUGGACAGCAGAGUCCUGUAAACAUAAUAGAAGCCCUGACUUCUUGUAUCAACACCAUUUUUACCUUUUGAUGUUUCAAUUUACUGAAUUAUAUCCAUUAAGUGUACACAAUGAAAAAACAGCAAUUUGCUGGGAAAAGCCAGUGUAAUAUGGCUUCAAGGAGCAUACAGAGAAGGGAAAAAGCCUAAAUAUAUUUAUGAUGAAAGUGCUAGCAGAGGGAGCCUGUAUAGAUCCCUGAAUACGGUGGCAAAAUUGCCUUUGGCAAAAGAAACACAGAAAUAUGGUUCUUCUAAUAAUUCUUUACCAUUUUACUGUUCUUCCUGCUGAGACUGCUAAAUGCUUUAUUGGCCUGAAGGACAUUAACAUCUUCCCCUCCUUGAAAUGUGGGAGCUAUUAUGGUAAUGUUCACCCUUAUUUCUGUCAUUGGGGCAAAGAAAGCUACACAAGUCCCAAAACUGAUUAUUAUUUGUGCAUUGGGAACUUAGUCCCAAAUGGCACACAGGAGUGUGAAAAAUCUGAGAUAAUUGUCGUUUACAUGUUGUUUUCACAGGGUUGGAUUUCAGCUAUUUGUGCAACCCCCUGAGUCUCUCAGUGGGAAAGGUCUCACUUGAAUACAUGGGUUUAAUGUUUCAAAUAUAUACUCAUUUACGUUUUAAUUUGGUAGGUUUUGCUGUAAAUGUGUGAUUAGAAUUGAAAAUGCGAUUUUACAGAGAAGGAAGCUGUUUUUUUCAUUGGUGCCUCCUUCCAUAUUUUAGUAGUACAAUCAGAAGCAGAAUCACCACAACUUUCAGAGCCAAGAAGGGGGCAAGGCUACCUUUUUACUGAGACACUGGAGUAACUGCCCAAGUUUCUCCUUACCACUGUUUGCAGGACGCAGUUGCAUCCAGAAGCAGCACAUCUCCAAAGACAACAUUUGUUAAACUUUGGGAGUCUCAGUGAGACUGAGAUGUAACAACCAUGAAGAACUGGCCUGGCUGCAGAGCUACAAAGCAUGGUGUGAUAAUGCCAUAGGGCACAAUGGGUUUAAAUUACAAGCUCUCUCCCCACAUUCAUUUUCCUGCAUGGGAAAAAAAGAUGCCUGCAUGCAUCUUCCCAGUCAUCCAUCUGUUCCCCCUUCACUUACUCACUGUUUCUACCAUCAGGGUGAGGAUGAGACUGGAGAGCAGGAACAACUCUGGAGUUCAGUUAGUGAAGGAGUUUCCCACUAGGUGGUAGUGAAGAGAAUCAUGUCACACGUACUGGUCAGUGCACGUUUCAAGUCUUUUUAUGAAGGGGAAUCCCACAAGGACAUUACAAGCAGAAUAGCCUAGUGUAGCUCUCAGCUAUACUGCCAAAACUGCAUCUUUUGGUCUGGUUUAUUUUGCCUUCCCUUUCUGCUCAUUUCCAUGCUAUUUGUUCCUCCCAAAACCAAGCAGUGUUGACAGCUAUAUCUGUCAUGUCCUUUCCUGAAAGAUGAACUGUCUACAUGAAGCUACUCUGGUUCUCUUUCCACCUCCAGCAUAGCAGAAUCAAGACAUGUUAGCUAAAUGUCACCUAAUGACAUUUAAGCAAUUUGGAGGCGAGGACUCUUUGUAACCAGUACCUUAAUCUGAUUUUUCUCCACCACACCCCUGUGAACUUACUCUUAAGAAGAGUACUCUUCCGAACAGAAGAAAAAAGAAAUUUUGUUUGUUGCUAGUUUUGAAAUACCCUGACAGGUCCAAGUGAUGCAUCUGUCUACAUCGAAUGUUCCAGACAGAACAGGUAUUGUGGAAGGACUUUGUAAUGUCAGAGUAAACUAUCACUGAAAUUCAGAGUAAAGCUUUCUUGUAGGUCCAAAGAAAUACUGUACAAAAGCUAUGCUGAGAAAAUUAUCUGGGAGUUCAAGUCAUGCUCCAAUCUGCAGUAAGAGCAGGUGCUGGGUCUGCAAGAAGGAAUAAAUUUCUCCUGUGAAUUCAUCCCACCAUUAUCCUGUAACGAUAGAGCAAGCUUGCAGUAUCAUUUAGUAGUCCAGUCAUAGAGCCUGAGAUGAUGAAAAAAAAUACACUUUAAUUGUUCAUCAACUAUAAAUCAUUUGUGCUGAAUUAAUGUGCUGGAAAUCUUGCAAGACUGAAAAAUGAGAAUCUGUUUCAAUAUGGACAUGAAGCAGGGAUAUAAUUUCAUAGAUAAAUAUCAGUUUUACAUCCUAAUCUCAGGAAAAAAAAUAAGAAAGGCUCUGUAGUAUCAAGACAAGGCUGAAGCACUGAUUUAUCUUUCCCUGCAUCAAUUUAAAAGGAUGGAGAAGUUCUUUUUAGCUCUUGCAUUUGCUCUGUCAGAGUCAGUGAAAAGGGUAGGAUGAACAGGCAUCCCAGAGACACUAGGGAUGCACCACAGUGGAGAUUCCACAUUAUUUGUCCAUUUUCUAAUUGUUACUGUAGAUUUUCCUGCUACGUUGAUAGAGAAUAAAGGCAGGGAACUUCUUCAUUUAUGCAAGUGCUACACAGAGCCUGAGCACUUUUUUAACAGGAGAUGUGUGUACAUGGAAACACCAGAAUUCCCACCAAAACCCAAAUGCCUAGGCUGCGUACCCACAGCUCAGGAUUCUGCACGACUCACUCCUCUCUCCUUGUAUCACACCCACCAAAGCUUCCUAUGUCUACUGAGACAGGCACAAGUGCUGCCAAUGGGGUGGAAGCUGAAAGAUGAAAAAGCAAACAGGGGAGUUCAAAUAGGGGAGGAAGUUUCUCAAAGUAGCCCAACCUGAGCUGGAUGAGAGGACAUGUUAGCAUUCCUCACCAUCAACUCCUUCUAGCACACCUAGCUGCCAGACUGCAGCAGGGAUCCCAGAAAGCUACUCGGUCAUGGUACUUUGAGUAUUGCUGCCUUAUAGUUGAUAAAUCUUAUUCUCAAGCAGAUUUCUGUAAGUGGGUGAAGAGUUGAUAGUGUCAGGAGCUCUAAGGUCAUUCCUGUCCACAAGGCCAGAGGGCUGUGAAAAUCACAGAGGGUUUGAAUGCUGAGGUGACAACAACCUACAUCGCCUGUUCUCAACGCCUGAAGAUACAGGCAUACAGGGGGAGAAGCCUUCCAAGUCCAGCACCAUCUUACCAACAGCGCUGCUUAGCUGAAGCACAAGCAUCCCAGGCAUUCCUUCCACCAAGACCAAGUAAGUCUGUGUCACAUGUGCAGCAUCUUCCUUUGGCAGCGCCCCAGAACUUCAGGUGGCUGUGACAUGGUGCAGUUUCCCCUCUAUUGAUGAAGGGCCUGAGCACAGAUGAAGGGAGUGCCUAAGAUUACACAGGCAGCUGGUAACAGAACUGAAAAGAAACGAGAUGUUCCUUACUUUUAAUCCUGUGUCAUGACUACUCACCAGCCUAAGGUUUUAUCCAUUUAAAAGCAUAAACAAGAUGGACAAAAUGGAAAUAAUUUAUUCAAUUAACUAAUAGCAAUAAACUCCAGUGUGCUCCAAAUGCCAUUUUAGAGGCAUGUGGCAUCUCUGUAGAUGCAAUAAGAAUGUCCCAUUAAUUUAGCAAAAUUCUAUUAAGGCAUAGAAUUUUUUUUUUUUUUUUUCCCCCAACAAAUACCUAUUUUUACCAGACCUGGGCAUUGUUCUCCUCUAUUUUUAAUACUGUUACCUCACCUCCAGCUGUAAGUUAAAACUGGCUCUUCUCCCUCCCACACUGGAAGGAACAAUGAAUGAGACUGCACAGCUGGACUGGAACAAUUGCUCUGAACUCCCCAAAGCCCCACUCACACAAAUCACUGCAAGUGAAAUAACAGGAGGUGAGAAGUCCUCAAGUGAGCAAGCCUAAGACAAGCCACUAGUUCUGCAUUUGGCAGAAACAUAAUCAAGGACUGAAGGUUUGGCAGCAGCACCAAAGAAAACAGGGAGAGAGAAAAGGCCCGUAUCAAGCGCUGAUGGUUCCUCUGCCUGGGACUUGCAUGGGUUUCACACAGGGCUGGUGAUAACAUGAAGCACAUUAAUUUUA
Strigops habroptila (Kakapo) is the source of this 8480-nucleotide RNA transcript. It is a transcript of the gene named chromosome 11 C12orf43 homolog, with no coding region annotated. Lineage: Eukaryota; Metazoa; Chordata; Aves; Psittaciformes; Psittacidae. The transcript is spliced from 3 exons. The record is from RefSeq and is a predicted model, not a curated record.